This is a long non-coding RNA of Calidris pugnax (ruff), 499 nucleotides long. RefSeq lists it as uncharacterized. The transcript is spliced from 3 exons. NCBI's taxonomy places the organism in Eukaryota, Metazoa, Chordata, Aves, Charadriiformes, Scolopacidae. The record is from RefSeq and is a predicted model, not a curated record.
CUCAGAAGAUCAAAAAAAGUCUGCCCCUACUUACUCCAGUGUUAAAUUUUCAGUGAUUUCUACUGGAGACUGCUGCUUAUUGGAGCCCUUUGGAAAGGAAUUACUUCUGACAUGAAUCUUUGGCAAAAGCAGGUGAUUUUUUUUUUUCCUGCCUCCAGAACCAAGGCUACUUGCAGGAGAAUGGGUUCCUGAUUUUUUUAUUCAGCCUCUAUGUGUCCCAGACAUGGCUCUUCUCCAGGUAUGCUUUUAUUGAAAAAAUAAGGAUGUUGAAGAAAGAAGCAUGCCUAUUGUAGCUUCACAAGUUUGUAUUGGUGCAAAAGCACAGAUGAGGUUGCUAAAAGUGAACCAUGCACCUGUAGCUCCUUUGUAUUGUGUUACUUGUAUAGGCUUGCCUUUUGAGAAGUCUCCAUCUCAUCCAGCAUACUCAUAUUGUGUCCAAAUUUUGCAGUUCUGUCUCUACAAAUUCUGUUGCCCUCCUUUUAUCUUUUCCUUUUUUCCU